RNAcentral lists this ribosomal RNA (2933 nucleotides) under Escherichia coli. Its description in RNAcentral is "23S ribosomal RNA". It matches the Rfam family "Bacterial large subunit ribosomal RNA". Lineage: Bacteria; Pseudomonadati; Pseudomonadota; Gammaproteobacteria; Enterobacterales; Enterobacteriaceae. The record is from RNAcentral.
GGGUUGUGAGGUUAAGCGACUAAGCGUACACGGUGGAUGCCCAGGCAGUCAGAGGCGAUGAAGGACGUGCUAAUCUGCGAUAAGCGUCGGUAAGGUGAUAUGAACCGUUAUAACCGGCGAUUUCCGAAUGGGGAAACCCAGUGUGUUUCGACACACUAUCAUUAACUGAAUCCAUAGGUUAAUGAGGCGAACCGGGGGAACUGAAACAUCUAAGUACCCCGAGGAAAAGAAAUCAACCGAGAUUCCCCCAGUAGCGGCGAGCGAACGGGGAGCAGCCCAGAGCCUGAAUCAGUGUGUGUGUUAGUGGAAGCGUCUGGAAAGGCGCGCGAUACAGGGUGACAGCCCCGUACACAAAAAUGCACAUGCUGUGAGCUCGAUGAGUAGGGCGGGACACGUGGUAUCCUGUCUGAAUAUGGGGGGACCAUCCUCCAAGGCUAAAUACUCCUGACUGACCGAUAGUGAACCAGUACCGUGAGGGAAAGGCGAAAAGAACCCCGGCGAGGGGAGUGAAAAAGAACCUGAAACCGUGUACGUACAAGCAGUGGGAGCACGCUUAGGCGUGUGACUGCGUACCUUUUGUAUAAUGGGUCAGCGACUUAUAUUCUGUAGCAAGGUUAACCGAAUAGGGGAGCCGAAGGGAAACCGAGUCUUAACUGGGCGUUAAGUUGCAGGGUAUAGACCCGAAACCCGGUGAUCUAGCCAUGGGCAGGUUGAAGGUUGGGUAACACUAACUGGAGGACCGAACCGACUAAUGUUGAAAAAUUAGCGGAUGACUUGUGGCUGGGGGUGAAAGGCCAAUCAAACCGGGAGAUAGCUGGUUCUCCCCGAAAGCUAUUUAGGUAGCGCCUCGUGAAUUCAUCUCCGGGGGUAGAGCACUGUUUCGGCAAGGGGGUCAUCCCGACUUACCAACCCGAUGCAAACUGCGAAUACCGGAGAAUGUUAUCACGGGAGACACACGGCGGGUGCUAACGUCCGUCGUGAAGAGGGAAACAACCCAGACCGCCAGCUAAGGUCCCAAAGUCAUGGUUAAGUGGGAAACGAUGUGGGAAGGCCCAGACAGCCAGGAUGUUGGCUUAGAAGCAGCCAUCAUUUAAAGAAAGCGUAAUAGCUCACUGGUCGAGUCGGCCUGCGCGGAAGAUGUAACGGGGCUAAACCAUGCACCGAAGCUGCGGCAGCGACGCUGAUGCGUUGUUGGGUAGGGGAGCGUUCUGUAAGCCUGCGAAGGUGUGCUGUGAGGCAUGCUGGAGGUAUCAGAAGUGCGAAUGCUGACAUAAGUAACGAUAAAGCGGGUGAAAAGCCCGCUCGCCGGAAGACCAAGGGUUCCUGUCCAACGUUAAUCGGGGCAGGGUGAGUCGACCCCUAAGGCGAGGCCGAAAGGCGUAGUCGAUGGGAAACAGGUUAAUAUUCCUGUACUUGGUGUUACUGCGAAGGGGGGACGGAGAAGGCUAUGUUGGCCGGGCGACGGUUGUCCCGGUUUAAGCGUGUAGGCUGGUUUUCCAGGCAAAUCCGGAAAAUCAAGGCUGAGGCGUGAUGACGAGGCACUACGGUGCUGAAGCAACAAAUGCCCUGCUUCCAGGAAAAGCCUCUAAGCAUCAGGUAACAUCAAAUCGUACCCCAAACCGACACAGGUGGUCAGGUAGAGAAUACCAAGGCGCUUGAGAGAACUCGGGUGAAGGAACUAGGCAAAAUGGUGCCGUAACUUCGGGAGAAGGCACGCUGAUAUGUAGGUGAAGUCCCUCGCGGAUGGAGCUGAAAUCAGUCGAAGAUACCAGCUGGCUGCAACUGUUUAUUAAAAACACAGCACUGUGCAAACACGAAAGUGGACGUAUACGGUGUGACGCCUGCCCGGUGCCGGAAGGUUAAUUGAUGGGGUUAGCCGCAAGGCGAAGCUCUUGAUCGAAGCCCCGGUAAACGGCGGCCGUAACUAUAACGGUCCUAAGGUAGCGAAAUUCCUUGUCGGGUAAGUUCCGACCUGCACGAAUGGCGUAAUGAUGGCCAGGCUGUCUCCACCCGAGACUCAGUGAAAUUGAACUCGCUGUGAAGAUGCAGUGUACCCGCGGCAAGACGGAAAGACCCCGUGAACCUUUACUAUAGCUUGACACUGAACAUUGAGCCUUGAUGUGUAGGAUAGGUGGGAGGCUUAGAAGUGUGGACGCCAGUCUGCAUGGAGCCGACCUUGAAAUACCACCCUUUAAUGUUUGAUGUUCUAACGUUGACCCGUAAUCCGGGUUGCGGACAGUGUCUGGUGGGUAGUUUGACUGGGGCGGUCUCCUCCUAAAGAGUAACGGAGGAGCACGAAGGUUGGCUAAUCCUGGUCGGACAUCAGGAGGUUAGUGCAAUGGCAUAAGCCAGCUUGACUGCGAGCGUGACGGCGCGAGCAGGUGCGAAAGCAGGUCAUAGUGAUCCGGUGGUUCUGAAUGGAAGGGCCAUCGCUCAACGGAUAAAAGGUACUCCGGGGAUAACAGGCUGAUACCGCCCAAGAGUUCAUAUCGACGGCGGUGUUUGGCACCUCGAUGUCGGCUCAUCACAUCCUGGGGCUGAAGUAGGUCCCAAGGGUAUGGCUGUUCGCCAUUUAAAGUGGUACGCGAGCUGGGUUUAGAACGUCGUGAGACAGUUCGGUCCCUAUCUGCCGUGGGCGCUGGAGAACUGAGGGGGGCUGCUCCUAGUACGAGAGGACCGGAGUGGACGCAUCACUGGUGUUCGGGUUGUCAUGCCAAUGGCACUGCCCGGUAGCUAAAUGCGGAAGAGAUAAGUGCUGAAAGCAUCUAAGCACGAAACUUGCCCCGAGAUGAGUUCUCCCUGACUCCUUGAGAGUCCUGAAGGAACGUUGAAGACGACGACGUUGAUAGGCCGGGUGUGUAAGCGCAGCGAUGCGUUGAGCUAACCGGUACUAAUGAACCGUGAGGCUUAACCUUACAACGCCGAAGGUGUUU